GAUGAACGCUGGCUACAGGCUUAACACAUGCAAGUCGUGGGGAAACGGCAUUAUGUGCUUGCACAUUCUGGACGUCGACCGGCGCACGGGUGAGUAUCGCGUAUCCAACCUGCCCCUUACUUGGGGAUACCCCGUUGAAAGACGGCCUAAUACCCGAUGUGUUUCAUUGACGGCAUCCGAUAUGAAACAAAGGUUUUCCGGUAAGGGAUGGGGAUGCGUCUGAUUAGCUAGUUGGCGGGGCAACGGCCCACCAAGGCGACGAUCAGUAGGGGUUCUGAGAGGAAGGUCCCCCACAUUGGAACUGAGACACGGUCCAAACUCCUACGGGAGGCAGCAGUGAGGAAUAUUGGUCAAUGGGCGGAAGCCUGAACCAGCUAAGUAGCGUGCAGGAAGACGGCCCUAUGGGUUGUAAACUGCUUUUAUGCGGGGAUAAAGUGAGGGACGUGUCCUUCAUUGCAGGUACCGCAUGAAUAAGGACCGGCUAAUUCCGUGCCAGCAGCCGCGGUAAUACGGAAGGUCCGGGCGUUAUCCGGAUUUAUUGGGUUUAAAGGGAGCGUAGGCCGUGGAUUAAGCGUGUUGUGAAAUGCAGGUGCUCAACGUCUGCACUGCAGCGCGAACUGGUCCACUUGAGUGUGCGCAACGCAGGCGGAAUUCGUCGUGUAGCGGUGAAAUGCUUAGAUAUGACGAAGAACUCCGAUUGCGAAGGCAGCUUGCGGGAGCACAACUGACGCUGAAGCUCGAAAGUGCGGGUAUCGAACAGG
RNAcentral lists this ribosomal RNA (761 nucleotides) under uncultured Prevotella sp. RNAcentral's name for it is "bacterial SSU rRNA". It matches the Rfam family "Bacterial small subunit ribosomal RNA", at positions 28 to 776 of the family's 1533-position model. Lineage: Bacteria; Pseudomonadati; Bacteroidota; Bacteroidia; Bacteroidales; Prevotellaceae. The record is from RNAcentral.